GAUGAACGCUGGCGGCGUGCCUAAUACAUGCAAGUCGAGCGAACGGACGAGAAGCUUGCUUCUCUGAUGUUAGCGGCGGACGGGUGAGUAACACGUGUAUAACCUACCUAUAAGACUGGGAUAACUUCGGGAAACCGGAGCUAAUACCGGAUGAUAUUUUGAACCGCAUGGUUCAAAAGUGAAAGACGGUCUUGCUGUCACUUAUAGAUGGAUCCGCGCUGCAUUAGCUAGUUGGUAAGUUAACGGCUUACCAAGGCAACGAUGCAUAGCCGACCUGAGAGGGUGAUCGGCCACACUGGAACUGAGACACGGUCCAGACUCCUACGGGAGGCAGCAGUAGGGAAUCUUCCGCAAUGGGCGAAAGCCUGACGGAGCAACGCCGCGUGAGUGAUGAAGGUCUUCGGAUCGUAAAACUCUGUUAUUAGGGAAGAACAUAUGUGUAAGUAACUGUGCACAUCUUGACGGUACCUAAUAAGAAAGCAACGGCUAACUACGUG
Molecule: ribosomal RNA, 497 nt
Filed under: uncultured bacterium
Lineage: Bacteria
Description: partial 16S ribosomal RNA
Rfam family: Bacterial small subunit ribosomal RNA
Source: RNAcentral